UGGAAUGAUACGACAUUCCUUAAUGUGAGUGUCACCUUAAUUCUUUCUACAAAUGGGCUGGACCAACGACCACAUAACAUGAUCCUUUUAAGUUAGCUUAUUAUUCAAAAUUUUUUAACUAGCAGAUUUUGUGUUGAGCAUUGUUUUCCUGAGCAAUCAACGCUGCUUUUUCCCCCUCCUUUCCAGUGUCGUUACUGCUCUCUUGCAAGAAUUACUUUUUCUUCCUUUCCUGUGCUUUUAAUCUCUGCAUGCCCUUUAAUUCUUAACCCUUAAUUUCCCCUUUAGGUUUCUGCAAUCCUGCUUGUGCUGAUAAUCAGAAAAUUAUGUUAUUGCUGGUG
This 338-nucleotide unclassified non-coding RNA is filed under the name Hevea brasiliensis (rubber tree). The record is from RNAcentral. Lineage: Eukaryota; Viridiplantae; Streptophyta; Magnoliopsida; Malpighiales; Euphorbiaceae.